AAUCACCUGUCUUUUAAAUGGAGACCUGUAUGAAUGGCACGACGAGGGCUUGACUGUCUCCUUUUUCCAGUCGAUGAAAUUGAUCUCUCCGUGCAGAAGCGGGGAUACUAACAUAAGACGAGAAGACCCUAUGGAGCUUUAGACGCCAGGACAGACCAUGUCAAGCAACCCCAGACAAGGGGUCAAACCAAAUGCACCCUGUCCCAGUGUCUUUGGUUGGGGCGACCGCGGGGAACUACAAAACCCCCACGUGGAAUGGGAAUACCCUCCUACAACUGAGAGCUUCCGCUCUAGUGAACAGAAAUUCUGACCAGCAAGAUCCGGCAACGCCGAUUAACGGACCGAGUUACCCUAGGGAUAACAGCGCAAUCCCCUUUUAGAGCCCA
RNAcentral lists this ribosomal RNA (386 nucleotides) under Lateolabrax japonicus (Japanese seabass). Its description in RNAcentral is "partial 16S ribosomal RNA". It matches the Rfam family "Bacterial large subunit ribosomal RNA", at positions 1963 to 2502 of the family's 2925-position model. The record is from RNAcentral. Lineage: Eukaryota; Metazoa; Chordata; Actinopteri; Acropomatiformes; Lateolabracidae.